AGAAUGAGGAAACCGAGAUCCAAUGAGAAUAAACAGAGAGCACAGAGAUCUGAAGAAGGAAUUAACUUCCAUUACCUGCUGAGGAUUGGCGGACUUGAAACAAAAAAAAAUACGAGCGAUAGCAAUUGGAUCCCCAAAUGGGAAAUGAUAAAAAAAUUGAAAAGUAUCA
This is a long non-coding RNA of Telopea speciosissima, 169 nucleotides long. RefSeq lists it as uncharacterized. The transcript is spliced from 3 exons. NCBI's taxonomy places the organism in Eukaryota, Viridiplantae, Streptophyta, Magnoliopsida, Proteales, Proteaceae. The record is from RefSeq and is a predicted model, not a curated record.